RNAcentral lists this ribosomal RNA (252 nucleotides) under uncultured microorganism. Its description in RNAcentral is "partial 16S ribosomal RNA". It matches the Rfam family "Bacterial small subunit ribosomal RNA", at positions 524 to 776 of the family's 1533-position model. The record is from RNAcentral.
UACGUAGGGUGCGAGCGUUAAUCGGAUUUACUGGGCGUAAAGCGAGCGCAGGUGGUUUAAUAAGUCUGAUGUAAAAGGCAGUGGCUCAACCAUUGUGUGCAUUGGAAACUGUUAGACUUGAGUGCAGUAGAGGAGAGUGGAAUUCCAUGUGUAGCGGUGAAAUGCGUAGAUAUCGGGAGGAACACCAGUAGCGAAGGCGGCCAUCUGGCUGAUAACUGACGCUGAGGUGCGAGAGCGUGGGGAGCAAACAGG